Molecule: ribosomal RNA, 301 nt
Filed under: uncultured bacterium
Lineage: Bacteria
Description: partial 16S ribosomal RNA
Rfam family: Bacterial small subunit ribosomal RNA
Source: RNAcentral
CAGUAGCCGCGGGAAUACGUAGGGUGCAAGCGUUAAUCGGAAUUACUGGGCGUAAAGCGUGCGCAGGCGGUUUGUUAAGACAGAUGUGAAAUCCCCGGGCUCAACCUGGAACUGCAUUUGUGACUGGCAAGCUAGAGUGUGGCAGAGGGGGGUGGAAUUCCGCGUGUAGCAGUGAUAUGCGUAGAUAUGCGGAGGAACACCGAUGGCGAAGGCAGCCCCCUGGGCCAACACUGACGCUCAUGCACGAAAGCGUGGGGAGCAAACAGGAUUAGAUACCCCGGUAGUCCCUGUCUCUUAUACA